GAUGAAGAACGUAGCGAAAUGCGAUAAGUAGUGUGAAUUGCAGAAUUCAGUGAAUCAUCGAAUCUUUGAACGCACAUUGCGCCCCUUGGUAUUCCAUGGGGCAUGCCUGUUCGAGCGUCAUUUGUACCUUCAAGCUUUGCUUGGUGUUGGUUGUUUGUCCUGAGGGACUCGCCUUAAAGUAAUUGGCAGCCAGUGUUUGGUUUUGAAGCGCAGCACAAGUCGCGAUUCAAAGCUAUACGCCCGCUUCCACAAGCCUUUUUCACUUUUGACCUCGGAUCAGGUAGGGAUACCCGCUGAACUUAAGCAUAUCAAUAAGCGGAGGA
RNAcentral lists this unclassified non-coding RNA (323 nucleotides) under soil metagenome. RNAcentral describes it as "partial contains 5.8S ribosomal RNA, internal transcribed spacer 2, and large subunit ribosomal RNA". The stretch from base 1 to 120 matches the Rfam family "5.8S ribosomal RNA", at positions 35 to 154 of the family's 154-position model. The record is from RNAcentral.